GGUAAAGUGGCUGAUUUUAGGUGAUAAAUUGUAAAUUUAUUUAUGGUAAUUCCCUUUGCUA
This 61-nucleotide transfer RNA is filed under the name Quadristernoseta cf. intermedia XFX-2019. RNAcentral describes it as "tRNA-Tyr". Lineage: Eukaryota; Metazoa; Arthropoda; Arachnida; Mesostigmata; Diplogyniidae. The record is from RNAcentral.